Molecule: small RNA, 67 nt
Filed under: Caryophanon tenue
Lineage: Bacteria; Bacillati; Bacillota; Bacilli; Caryophanales; Caryophanaceae
Description: Bacillaceae-1 RNA
Rfam family: Bacillaceae-1 RNA
Source: Rfam by way of RNAcentral
GAAGAGCGAACAUCUGCCAAGAACGCCAUAUCGUGUGACAAAGCGGAUAUGACAAACGUUGUGUUUG